This 248-nucleotide long non-coding RNA is filed under the name Capsicum annuum. RNAcentral describes it as "long non-coding RNA (CANN_LNC008342)". Lineage: Eukaryota; Viridiplantae; Streptophyta; Magnoliopsida; Solanales; Solanaceae. The record is from RNAcentral.
GCGGGGUGUGUAGAAAAGCUAUGGAAGGUGGCGGUCCUUGGGGGACCAAAAUUGGAAACUUGUAUUUGUCGAUAUAAGGAUUGGUCUUAGUGGACCGUGUUCAUGAUGUCGAACUAUUAGGGAUGUACUAGUCAUCCCAUGGGAUAAUUCCCUGGUCAUGCGGCUACAAGCACUGGGCCCUUUUAGCAGGGGGUUGAACCCAUAUUGCCCGUGGGUGGUUUAGGACGGCCAAGCUACACAGCCCAGGU